UGAACUAGCUCCCUGACCGCUGAACUAGCGCCCAAACUGCUGAACUAGCUCCCUGACUACUGAACUAGCGCCCAAACUGCUGAACUAG
This is a non-coding RNA of Pangasianodon gigas (Mekong giant catfish), 88 nucleotides long. The record is from the annotation of a GenBank genome assembly. NCBI's taxonomy places the organism in Eukaryota, Metazoa, Chordata, Actinopteri, Siluriformes, Pangasiidae.